This 204-nucleotide long non-coding RNA is filed under the name Hordeum vulgare. Its description in RNAcentral is "long non-coding RNA (HVUL_LNC004271)". The record is from RNAcentral. Lineage: Eukaryota; Viridiplantae; Streptophyta; Magnoliopsida; Poales; Poaceae.
UCUUCAUAUAAGCCUUUUUAUGGUGUCGCUCGAGGCGCCCAACUGUGCCAUGUUUAGUAAUAUUCCAUUGACAGGUCCCUCUAAUGCCCCAUAUGUAAAACCUUCCCCUUUUGGAACCUUCCCAAGUGGGUCCACCUUGUCAAUGCUAUGAGAGAGUUCAUGCUUAUGAUUUCAUGUGUUGUCUCAUUAUUAUUUAUUCCCUUG